UGGGAUGUCGUCUAAUGGUAGGACUACGGACUCUGACUCCGUCUAUCUAGGUUCGAAUCCUAGUGUCCCAA
Molecule: transfer RNA, 71 nt
Filed under: Patescibacteria group bacterium
Lineage: Bacteria
Description: tRNA-Gln
Rfam family: tRNA
About the family: Transfer RNA (tRNA) molecules are approximately 80 nucleotides in length. Their secondary structure includes four short double-helical elements and three loops (D, anti-codon, and T loops).
Source: RNAcentral